Dunckerocampus dactyliophorus (ringed pipefish) is the source of this 1139-nucleotide long non-coding RNA. RefSeq lists it as uncharacterized. Lineage: Eukaryota; Metazoa; Chordata; Actinopteri; Syngnathiformes; Syngnathidae. The record is from RefSeq and is a predicted model, not a curated record. The transcript has 4 exons.
CUACCUUCACCGUGCUUUGUAACUGCAGCUCGUCCGCAGUUGCAGCACAGCAGAGAGAAACUAUGCUGCCAGCGCCUAGAAAAAUAAAGCCUGGGAGUCAAAAAAGGAAAGAGAGAAAGAUUUAACAACAGAUGAGUCUGCAGCAGCUCCCACCUUCACCUCCCUGUCCGAGUGAAAAAGGGAGCAUGUCUGAGAGGAAAACGCUGUCCCAAUACGCAACCAGAGGACAGAAGCAGGUGGAUACGUGAACGAAUGUUCCCCCUGACAGCUGCAAGCUGAAAAUGUCAGAAGACGAUGAACUGGAUGACAUGAUGUUGCUGUGUUUUGACACACAUAUUAUUGGUAUUAUGUGUGCUUGUGCAUGUAGCACAUUGUGUUACUUCACUUGACUAAAACAGCAGCCCAAAAAGGACAGCGGGAUAUGUGGAAAUGCUAAGCUAUCCAAUAUUAUGCCAUUGCAAAUGUAAUAAUGCUCAAAUUUGAUUGACAAUCAGAGAAGUUCAUUCUUUCAUUUAUUUUCUACUGCUUGUCAGGAUUGGACUGGUGGCCUGUCAAUCACAGGGCACAUAUUAAUGAACAAUGAUUCACAACUAUGGACAAUUUACAAUUAACCUAACAUGCAUGUUUUGGGUAGUGAUGUGCGCAUCGAUACCGAAAUAUCAAUACUUCAAAUAAUAAAUCAUCCAUCCAUCCAUCCAUUUUCUAUACGGCUUCAUCCUCAUUAGGGUCGCGGGGGCAUGCUGGAGCCUAUCCCAUCUGACUUCGGGCGACAGGCGGGGUACACCCUGGACUGGUCGCCAACCAAUCGCAGGGCACAUAUAGACAAACAACCAUUCACACUCACAUUCAUACCUAUGGACAAUUUAGAGUCGCCAAUUAACCUCACCUGCAUGUUUUUGGGAAUGUGGGAGGAAGCCGGAGUGCCCGGAGAAAACCCACACGCACACGGGGAGAACAUGCAAACUCCACACAGAAAUGCCCAGGGGAGAAUCGAACCCAUGUCUUCCCGAUCUCCAGGCCAACGUGCUAACCACUAGACCACCGUGCGGCCCUAUAACAAUAAUAAAUCAAAAUAUCGGUAAUUUCGAUACUUCAGUCAUUUGAGGUAAUGUUUGUCUCAAACUUCUGUCUGCUGAAAG